UACGUAGGGGGCAAGCGUUGUCCGGAAUCAUUGGGCGUAAAGAGCGUGUAGGCGGCCAGAUAAGUCCGCUGUGAAAUCUCGAGGCUCAACUUCGAGCUGUCGGUGGAAACUGUCUGGCUAGAGUCCGGAAGAGGAGAAUGGAAUUCCUGGUGUAGCGGUGAAAUGCGCAGAUAUCAGGAAGAACACCGAUGGCGAAAGCAGCUCUCUGGGACGGUACUGACGCUGAGGCGCGAAAGCGUGGGGAGCGAACAGG
RNAcentral lists this ribosomal RNA (253 nucleotides) under uncultured bacterium. RNAcentral's name for it is "partial 16S ribosomal RNA". It matches the Rfam family "Bacterial small subunit ribosomal RNA", at positions 524 to 776 of the family's 1533-position model. The record is from RNAcentral.